AUUGAACUCUAAACUUUUAUAAACUCAUGUAGUGCACCAAAUUUAUUUAAUUCGUGAGUUAUAACCUAACCGUUAUGUUGUUAUACUGUAUCUUCCAUGUAUUGUAUCUCUAUACAUUAUAUCGUCACGGAAAAAUUUGGAAUUUCUAAAUUUGAAAAUUUGAGAGUUUAAACUUAAAGUCGUUAGUGUUUUGUUUGGCAAAAAACGCGGUAUUGCAUAGUUCGAUACUAUGUAGUUGACUGAAAGGAACAAAAAAAGUACCUGACAGAAGAAAAAUUCAAAUUUGGCGGGUAAAUCGAUCGAGUGCUCAAAAAUCAAAAAUUAUGUCGUUUGUACGCAUAAUCAAUACACAUGAAGAUCGAGUGCUGCAGCGAGUUGUACCUCAAAAAUUUAGGAGCUUUACGCUUCAAACAGAGCGGAGAAAACCAGAGCAACGUGACGCGUCAAUCUCAUUCUUCAAUAUCGACCUCGACCGUCGAAAUCAAGUCGUUCCAUUUUCAAAAGGAAAGGCGCGCGAUGAAAUAGGAACAUUACCAGUAGUAUGGACAGUUGGAGAAAUCUGGAGGCAUCAGACAUUUGGAAAUUCAGAAAAUUUAAAGCAAAGGAAAUUUGAAAAUUUCAUAAAGCUCGAAUCUGACGGUCUGUUUUUACACAAAAUGGCACCCCUAAUUCCGUCUUAAAAAAUCGUUAAGUAUCGUUGAAUAAUUACUGUAAUUCAUCCACUUUCAUAAACCAGACCGUUCCUUUGCCCCCUUUAAUUGUAAUUAUUUCACAAAAUGAAACAUGUCUUUUUUUUAGGAACGUAUAUGAAGAUAGAAUAUUCAAUAGAAAUUCAACGUUUGAUCUGGUUGACUCGUGUUUUUUCCGCCCAGUGAUGGUUGCGAUUAUAUCACCGCCGUGGAUAUUUCCGGAAAUAGUAUUAAAUUUAUACAUCUGAGAGAUUCUAGAUAGGCGGUCAACGUCGCUCACGCAAUUAAAUCUGUGCGAUUAUUAAACGAAUUAAGAAAAUAUACAUUUAUAGUAUUCCUUCGUUUUAAGCCGUUUUAUGCCACGACUUAUCACGAUCCGUUCCGUUAUUGACUUCUCAUUGUUUUCUGAGCACAGGUAACGUUAGACUCUAACUGUUAGAGGAAUCGAGAUAACAAAAGGAUCGAGGCCUCCAUGAUACGAGUCGAAGAUAACCCAAAGGCUCGGAGCAACCGCAGAGGACAACGAAGUGGCAACGAAAUCAUUGAAAUCCAUCCGGGGGUGGGUUUACGAUACUCAUCGCUACAAACGCAAGAAGCUUGAUUCAUGCGAGUUUCAAGAUGUUAGAGAGAGAAGCAAAUGCGUCCAGUUGCGAGCCAAUGUACCAGGGAACCGAUACAUCGACCUUAGCCUUUUCUUAAUCAACCAGAUAUCGGCCAGUUCGUUGAGAUAUUAAUGCAACAUGAACUCUUGAGACUGAGUUCGCGGGCCCGUUCAGCUCGAAGCAGUUCCUUGAGACGUUGAAAACUGCCAGCCUGAGGAACCUGAGACAGAGGAGGAGAAC
Unclassified non-coding RNA from Megachile rotundata (alfalfa leafcutting bee), 1531 nucleotides. Lineage: Eukaryota; Metazoa; Arthropoda; Insecta; Hymenoptera; Megachilidae. The record is from RefSeq and is a predicted model, not a curated record.